This 253-nucleotide ribosomal RNA is filed under the name uncultured bacterium. Its description in RNAcentral is "partial 16S ribosomal RNA". It matches the Rfam family "Bacterial small subunit ribosomal RNA", at positions 524 to 776 of the family's 1533-position model. The record is from RNAcentral.
UACGUAGGGGGCAAGCGUUGUCCGGAAUCAUUGGGCGUAAAGCGCGUGUAGGCGGUCCGGUAAGUCCGCUGUGAAAGUCGGGGGCUCAACCCUCGGAUGCCGGUGGAUACUGUCGGGCUAGAGUACGGAAGAGGCGAGUGGAAUUCCUGGUGUAGCGGUGAAAUGCGCAGAUAUCAGGAGGAACACCUAUUGCGAAGGCAGCUCGCUGGGACGUUACUGACGCUGAGACGCGAAAGCGUGGGGAGCAAACAGG